Molecule: ribosomal RNA, 481 nt
Filed under: uncultured bacterium
Lineage: Bacteria
Description: partial 16S ribosomal RNA
Rfam family: Bacterial small subunit ribosomal RNA
Source: RNAcentral
GAUGAACGCUGGCGGCGUGCUUAACACAUGCAAGUCGAACGAAGCACUUUAUUUGAUUUCCUUCGGGACUGAUUAUUUUGUGACUGAGUGGCGGACGGGUGAGUAACGCGUGGGUAACCUGCCUUGUACAGGGGGAUAACAGUUGGAAACGGCUGCUAAUACCGCAUAAGCGCACGGCAUCGCAUGAUGCAGUGUGAAAAACUCCGGUGGUAUAAGAUGGACCCGCGUUGGAUUAGCUAGUUGGUGAGGUAACGGCCCACCAAGGCGACGAUCCAUAGCCGACCUGAGAGGGUGACCGGCCACAUUGGGACUGAGGCACGGCCCAAACUCCUGCGGGAGGCAGCAGUGGGGAAUAUUGCACAAUGGGCGAAAGCCUAAUGCAGCGACGCCGCGUGAGCGAAGAAGUAUUUCGGUAUGUAAAGCUCUAUCAGCAGGGAAGAUAAUGACGGUACCUGACUAAGAAGCACCGGCUAAAUACGUG